GGCCUUUUCAAUAAGCUUUAUGCGCGGACCAUGAAGAGGAGAUCCUUUACUUGCCAUUGGAUUUUUUCCAAGUUCCCAUGAUUCUUUCCAUAAAAGAAAAGCCACAUCUUGAAGCUGCCCAGUUGAUAGGAAGAAGUCCUUCAAGAAUUCAUGUUUAUAACUCCGUGCAUAGGUUAUAAACAAAUCACGUGCAAAAGAUCGCGCUUGUAUCGUUCCGAAAAACUCUAAGGCUG
This 233-nucleotide unclassified non-coding RNA is filed under the name Hevea brasiliensis (rubber tree). Lineage: Eukaryota; Viridiplantae; Streptophyta; Magnoliopsida; Malpighiales; Euphorbiaceae. The record is from RNAcentral.